This is a non-coding RNA of Picea glauca (white spruce), 124 nucleotides long. The record is from Rfam. Lineage: Eukaryota; Viridiplantae; Streptophyta; Pinopsida; Pinales; Pinaceae.
UAUGUAAUGCCUACAACAUAGCAUUAAUGCAUUGGAUUCCAUUAUAACUCCUCAGUUAAGCGCACUUAGGAUAGAGUAGUAUCGGGAUGGGUGAUCGCCCGAGAAUUCCUAGUGUUUUACAUAC